GAGCCGCGUGGCAUAGUGAUUAAGUGCUUGCACUGCCAAUCACAUGGUCAGGAGUUCGAGCCCCCUGUGGGUCA
RNAcentral lists this transfer RNA (74 nucleotides) under Sphaerodactylus townsendi. RNAcentral describes it as "tRNA-Gly". The record is from RNAcentral. Lineage: Eukaryota; Metazoa; Chordata; Lepidosauria; Squamata; Sphaerodactylidae.